This is a long non-coding RNA of Zea mays, 3971 nucleotides long. RefSeq lists it as uncharacterized. The record is from RefSeq and is a predicted model, not a curated record. NCBI's taxonomy places the organism in Eukaryota, Viridiplantae, Streptophyta, Magnoliopsida, Poales, Poaceae. The transcript has 3 exons.
AAAGAGGUUAGCUCCAUCGAUCUUCUUAUUACAUUGCGGCUUAUUACAUAUGCAUAUGUAGCUAGAAUACAUGCAUGCCAAGAAAUAAACACUGCAAGACAAUAGAAGAAACCAUAUAUACGUAUAUACAAUUAUACAUAUGCAUAGGAUUAAUUUACUGCAAUUCAUUCUGCAAACGAUGGUGAUGCCUUCUCAUAGUCAUCCACCCAGAAGAACUCACUGGGGGCACCUUCUGCUACUACUUGCAGCCAUCUUCAUGCUUGAUUUCGACCUCCCUACGCCCAAGGUUAGUACAAUUUUUCCUCCUCCGGUACAUGGUGGGCCCCCAUAAAAUGUGAUCUGCACAUGCAUGCUACAGGCCUACAGCAACGCCAUUCUUAGUAUAUACUAGUUGAGUUAAAAAAGAACGUGUUUUCAAUAAGAAAAUCAAUCUCAAAAGUUAUACUAAAUGUAUACAUAUAAAAAAACUAUUAAUAUUUAUAUAUAAUAAGCAUCGUUUGCUGUAAGUCAUUGUCAAACCCGGAUUUAAGGGCAAACUCGGAUGCGUCUCAAAUGUAUGUUAGGAUUAAGUGUCACACAUGAUGACUCAUAGGUACAGAAAUCAAUGUCAUAUCUUUAUUAUAUACUAGCCAGUUGCUCGUACUUUGAUACAGUUUUUAUAUAUCAUGUAAACAGGUAUUGAGAUAUUUAUUCAAAUAUAAUUAUUGUUUAUUUCUAAAUAAUAAGGUACGUGUGGUCUACUGGCUAGCCCUAAAUUUCUGGAGUAGGGGGUGUGGGUGAGUGCUCGCUCUGUAUUAUUUUUUAUAUAAUUAUUGUUUUUCUAAACACUGUGGUGCGGGUGGGGUUGGGUGCUGGACAAGCAUAGGUGAGAGAGCGUUGCGCGGGCCCUGGGCAUGGGGUGGUAGAACUAGUCAGGGCGUGUGGGGUGGGCCUAGAGUAUCAGGUGGAGGGUAAAGCCAUAUAGCACCAAGUGCCCAGUUCUUAAUAGAGUAGUAUAGAAUAGAAGUUCUGUACAAAAUAGCUAAGUAAAUACAUCAUAUGCCGACAACGAUCCUCCGCAAGCAUAGUUGAAUGGGACGAGACGACGACCUAGACCUCUCCGAACGCAUCGUAUCAUCCUUCAUGUUUCUCCAGCGGUACCUGUUCUUAAUCUGGUGUGAUUAUAGCAAGAUUGAAGUCACAUACAUCCAUCGCUCAGUAAGUGUGGCGAAUAAUGUGCAUGAGCUCACUUACGGUGUGAGCUCAUGUGUAGUGUAGGGGUUACCAAAGAAAAUGGUUAAGACUGAGAAUUGCUUUUAAAGAAGUUGGUCAAAAAAAUUAGCGAUUACUAAGUAUAGGUAUAUACCAACCCAAUUAAAAAAUUGAUCAUAAUUAAUAAUAAAUCUCACAAUGCAAUACAAAUGACAGGUUAAGUUUAAUUCCAUAAAUUACUCGUGUGGUGGUCCGAGCCGCUCAUGAUCGUGAGCACGACUAAUAUACCAGUUUUACACUCUGAAAAGUUUGCACAUCUUUAUCUAUAAGUCACGUAAAAGUUCAGAGAACUUUGUACCUAACCACGCCUGUGCCAGCUAGCACAGUACCACACUACCGAGGUGUGGUGGCAUAGGGACGCUAUGAGUCCUUUGCAAAGUUCCACUAGCAUGAGAAAACCCGCUACAGUUUUAGGACGAAGGAAGCAUAGGCCUUUUCCACGGUAUAUAACCCCACCGCAGUAAUUAUAGCCAGCACUAUACUCUGCAGCGACACCUAGCCGCUUGCCGCUCACUAGCUUUCAUAAUUAAUUGGCCAAGAAUAGAGCCAUAUAGUCCUCGUGGUUACACUGUUGUCUCAUGUGGUCGCUCUAUGUUCCAAUUAAACAAUAUGAUCUUAUCAUGUAUCAUAAUAAAGCGAAUAGUAAUAACUAAUAAGGGAACAUGAGCAUGAAUCAUAAGUAGCAUUAACAAAAAACCAGGUAGAGCAAUAGCAAGACUACCCAAUAAUUCAUUUGUAUGCAAGGUGUGGGGUAAACAAAACUAGGUAACUUAUUAGGUCCCAUCAAGUUAACCUAAGCAUGUCACGGUGAUUAUCAUGAACAUUAUUAGGUAAAAAAUGUGAUCAAGGACACAACUUUCCUUAUAUUUGUGAUAACCUUGUUGUCUAGAUGAUGUCCCAAAAGUUGGGCUUCAGAUUCCUUGACACCUCGCCUCUACUCGUAGAAAUACAUACAAUCAAACAAAUAAUGGAUAUGGUAACAUUACACCAAAGCAAAAAAAACAAAUCACACAAUAAUCUUCUACGUGUCACUAGAAGAUCGUAGGUUCGAGAACUACUAAGAUCGGAGUUAUGGUUAAAAAGAUAUAGUUUUCUGAAGUUUUAGAUGUUUAAACAAAACUAUAUUCUAUGUUGAUUAAUAUAAAUCAUGUGAGAAAGAUAAUCUAAAGAAAUGAUUAAUUCAACUUUAAUCUAAAUUAUAACUUAAUUAGAGAUCAUCUUUUAAUCUAGAGAGACGAUUAGGGAUAAGCCGGCGGCCGAAAAUAAGAGUCGAAACCUCCUCGAGAAGGUGACAGCAUUGGAGAAGGAGAAGGAGGACCUCGGUUGCCAACUUACUGAUGAAAAAGAGAACACAUAGAACGCCCGCAUGGAGGCUCAGGAUGCCCGCAGGCAUGCUGCUAACUUGUAGCUAGAGCUGAAGAAUAUGCGUGGGCACCGCGAGAGGAUAGAGUCUUCCACCCGUGCUGGGGUUGAACGGGCGCACACGCUUUUCGUGGAUGCGUACCGUGACCUUGGCGAGCAAACUGCCCCUUUUGACAAAUCGGGGGAGGAGGUGGGGACCCGCUUUCUAGGGUGGCUGCAAGAUGAGCUAGAGUCGCUCCCGUCCAUUGUGACGGGUCUCAUGUCCUAUGCGUCUCUUAUCACUUGCGAAGGGGCUGCGAAUGAUUUGUCUCGAGAGGUAUGUAGGCAUUUCGAGGUCUUUGACCAAGCGAACGAGGACUUCGAUCGUGGUGUGUUCUAGAUUGAAGAUGACGUGUUGAAGCGCUCUGUUGGGGCGCUUUUUGAUAGGAUGUGGGGCCCUCACGGCCGCGGCAUCGACCGAGAGAGGUCAGACCGAGCGCUGGCACAGGCGAUGAAUGAAGAAGAUGUGGAGGACCUCGCCGGCCUUGACAGUUCGGUGACCCGGAGUGAUGCUUCGGCGGAGGCGGGAGCCGAAGAGUGAACCAUGCUCCAAGGAGGUGUCACUAAGGGUCCUACGACAACAGAUGCUUUGGCGUAGGUUGAGAGAGUGUAAUAGGGAAUAGACUGAUAGUGUUCGUUUUGUGUGAUACUGAAGAUCGGUUGCUGCGCAGGUUCCGGCGUCUGGGCCUGCGCAAGCAAACCCUGAUGAUGACAUGAAUGAUGAUAUUUUGAUGGAUGGAAAUGUGGUGUCUCUUAGUAGUAACGCGUCUGGGAAUCUGAUGCUGGGUCGUGGUCUUCGGAGGGUGGAAAGUUAUGGAGCCUUUUUUCUUGGAUAGAUGACGAAUCCUCGGAGGAUGAUUUAGAUUUUUUUGCGGCGUUGGAUUUAGCUGCAGCGGAGUCUCCAUUGAGGGUCGCUCCCCCGUGAAGCGUCGAUGACUUCGGAUGGUGCACUCCAGGUGACCCGCGGGGGCAAAAAAGAUGGGGGUAUCGAAACAAAACGUCAGUGAGUCUUCGCAAGGUGUUAGAAGGCAUCGUCGAAUGGGUAUGGAGAGGUCACAUCUUUGGAUCAGAACACAGCUUGAUCAGGGGCCUAUCGUGACUUGCUGGCGCCGACAUCCGGGUCGUGUAUGGGGGAAGGGAUCUGCGGGACCUUUUUGAUGGGGAAGAGUUGAGGUUGAUGCUGUUUAAUUUCCGAUAAGCUGGUCUUAUCCCGAAAGAAGAACCAAUGUAAUGAUGAGUGUUGCCAUCGCUGUUCUUUGGCGACGAUGAGCGAAAAUGCUGCCCUCGCCCCCCUUCGCCAAAGGACGGCGAUGGGGACA